AGAGAAUAGAUACCCCGGUAGUCCACGCCCUAAACGAUGUCAACUGGGUGUUGGGGAAGCGAUUCCUUGGUACCGUAGCUAAACGCGUGAAAGUUGACCGCCUGGGGAGUACGGCCGCAAGGUUAAAACUCAAAGGAAUUGACGGGGACCCGCACAAGCGGUGGAUGAUGUGGAUUAAUUCGAUGCAACGCGAACAACCUUACCUACCCUUGACAUGUCCGAGAGCCCGCUGAGAGGUGGGUGUGCCCGAAAGGGAAUUGGAACACAGGUGCUGCAUGGCUGUCGUCAGCUCGUGUCGUGAGAUGUUGGGUUAAGUCCCGCAACGAGCGCAACCCUUGUCCCUAGUUGCUACGCAAGGGCACUCUAGGGAGACUGCCGGUGACAAACCGGAGGAAGGUGGGGAUGACGUCAAGUCCUCAUGGCCCUUAUGGGUAGGGCUUCACACGUCAUACAAUGGCCGGUACAGAGGGUAGCCAACCCGCGAGGGGGAGCCAAUCCCAGAAAGCCGGUCGUAGUCCGGAUUGCAGUCUGCAACUCGACUGCAUGAAGUC
This 551-nucleotide ribosomal RNA is filed under the name uncultured bacterium. RNAcentral's name for it is "bacterial SSU rRNA". It matches the Rfam family "Bacterial small subunit ribosomal RNA", at positions 773 to 1327 of the family's 1533-position model. The record is from RNAcentral.